CCUACCGCCUACUCUCCUGGUACGACUUACGAGUCUCCCCGUCUAUGGGGAGUCCAACCUCAGUGCCGUCUUCUACAAAUGAACCCUAAGUAACCUCACAACUUGUUAGACCUAGAGGAGGAGCUAAUGGCAACCCACGGUGCCAACCUCCGGCAAUUCGGCCUUCUCUCAGCAGCGAAAGAAGCAGCAGAAAACGCUCGCUUCCACGCUCGCUCCGCCCGCCGAGCCAUCACCCGCUUCGCUCGCCCAGGCGCCUUCUCCUACCCCGCCAAUCGCGCCGCUGCAGCUUCCCGCUUCUCACGCAACCUCGCCGCUUUCCGCGGGCACUACUCCCUCCUCCUCUGGUUCUCCCUUCUAGCCUUCCUCUUCCCCUCCCACCGCGCCACGAUGCUCUUCCUCAUGGUCAUCUCCAAGGUCGUCCUCUCCUACGCCGUCCUCCUCCGUCUCUUCCCUCACUCCGCCAUCCUCCACCGCAUACUCGACCGCCGCAUCGUUGCGGGUGUCUUUCUCGUAGUCGUAAUGGUCCAGCUCGCGCUUGCGGGAGCAGUUGUUUACCUAUUUAUCGCGACUGCUGCUGUUGCGCCGAUCGUGGUUGCGCACGCCGUGUUCCGGACUGCCGAUAGUUCGUUGGCCGCAGGGGCAGGGGAGAAUGGCAAACUUGCCGGUGAGACGAUUCCGAUAUCUGAGAAGAAGAACGCCGAUUUGGAAUCUGGUGGAGGGCAGAUUUCCGAUCGAUCGGCCUAGGGUUUCGUCCAGGCGUACAGAUACCAGUUUCUAUGGUGAAAAAGGUUUGCGAAGUCAGUACGCAGCUCUUCGUCGCUGCUGCAUCCAUUGAUUCACGGCUGCUUAGCAGCAUCAUUCAAAUCAUCUUUUUGUGGAAUUGAAGACGAGCUUGUCGAGAUCUUAGGCUUCAUUUGAGAAGGCGUCAAAGUUUUGUUCGGUUGGAGUGAACGCUCAGAAAUUUUUGAUUGGUGAAACAGCAGGAGACGAACAUCUGGUGAAGGUCUUUCAGAAGAGCGAUAAAUUUUCGUUAUUUCAAGUCGCAGUUUGUCUCCUUCGGUUCAAUGAAUGUAACUUUUAAAAGAAAUUGUAUGAACGAUGCUGCAGUUUCAAAUGAAGCUUUUUAGUCAACCGGAAGUUUGAUUUUGAAAG
Phalaenopsis equestris is the source of this 1152-nucleotide RNA transcript. RefSeq lists it as uncharacterized. The transcript has 3 exons. Lineage: Eukaryota; Viridiplantae; Streptophyta; Magnoliopsida; Asparagales; Orchidaceae. The record is from RefSeq and is a predicted model, not a curated record.